This 308-nucleotide ribosomal RNA is filed under the name uncultured bacterium. RNAcentral describes it as "partial 16S ribosomal RNA". It matches the Rfam family "Bacterial small subunit ribosomal RNA", at positions 505 to 807 of the family's 1533-position model. The record is from RNAcentral.
GAGACAGCAGCCGCCGCGGGAAUACAGAGGGUGCGAGCGUUAAUCGGAUUUACUGGGCGUAAAGCGUGCGUAGGCGGCUUCUUAAGUCGGAUGUGAAAUCCCUGAGCUUAACUUAGGAAUUGCAUUCGAUACUGGGAAGCUAGAGUAUGGGAGAGGAUGGUAGAAUUCCAGGUGUAGCGGUGAAAUGCGUAGAGAUCUGGAGGAAUACCGAUGGCGAAGGCAGCCAUCUGGCCUAAUACUGACGCUGAGGUACGAAAGCAUGGGGAGCAAACAGGAUUAGAUACCCCUGUAGUCCCUGUCUCUUAUAC